UGGGGAAUAUUGGACAAUGGGGGAAACCCUGAUCCAGCGACGCCGCGUGUGUGAAGAAGGCCUGCGGGUUGUAAAGCACUUUUAGUGGGGAUGAAAUGUGCAGGGUUAAUACCUCUGCAUUUUGACCUAACCCACAGAAAAAGCACCGGCUAACUCUGUGCCAGCAGCCGCGGUAAUACAGAGGGUGCAAGCGUUAAUCGGAAUUACUGGGCGUAAAGCGUGCGUAGACGGUUACAUAAGUCGGGUGUGAAAGCCCCGGGCUCAACCUGGGAAUUGCAUUCGAGACUGCGUAGCUAGGGUGCGGAAGAGGGAAGCGGAAUUUCCCGGUGUAGCGGUGAAAUGCGUAGAUAUCGGAAGGAACACCAGUGGCGAAAGCGGCUUCCUGGUCCAGCACCGACGUUCAGGCACGAAAGCGUGGGGAGCA
RNAcentral lists this ribosomal RNA (424 nucleotides) under uncultured bacterium. Its description in RNAcentral is "bacterial SSU rRNA". It matches the Rfam family "Bacterial small subunit ribosomal RNA", at positions 355 to 770 of the family's 1533-position model. The record is from RNAcentral.